GCCUUUGGCACUUAUCUUCUUCAAUUACUGUCUAGUUUUAGAUUAGAUUUAAAGAACUGUUAUUAUAUUUUUGUAGCUAGUCGGAAUUUGAUUUUCAUGUCUGUGCUAGCACAAGAAAGUUUUGAAACUAGUUUCAAUAAAGAUUUUUAUUUUAUUUAUUUACAAAAUAAAUUAGUUGUAUGGGAUCUUUUAAUUGAUAGUCUAUAUCACUUGCAUAUUGAUGUGAAUGUAAAUUUAAACGAGCAAAUAGUGAGUGUCGUAGGUCAAAAAAAAUCCAGAGAUGAUAUUAACCAGAAGUACUUGUGACAUCAUAGACUAAGCCAUAUUGGAGAGGACA
This 337-nucleotide long non-coding RNA is filed under the name Elaeis guineensis (African oil palm). RNAcentral's name for it is "long non-coding RNA (EGUI_LNC079370)". The record is from RNAcentral. Lineage: Eukaryota; Viridiplantae; Streptophyta; Magnoliopsida; Arecales; Arecaceae.